Molecule: ribosomal RNA, 426 nt
Filed under: uncultured bacterium
Lineage: Bacteria
Description: bacterial SSU rRNA
Rfam family: Bacterial small subunit ribosomal RNA
Source: RNAcentral
UCGAGAAUCUUCGUCAAUGGGGGAAACCCUGAACGAGCGACGCCGCGUGGAGGAUGAAGGCCUUCGGGUUGUAAACUCCUGUUGGGAGGGAACAAAUUUUGAGUGACCUCCUGAGGAAGCACGGGCUAAGUUCGUGCCAGCAGCCGCGGUAAGACGAACCGUGCGAACGUUAUUCGGAAUCAUUGGGCUUAAAGGGCGCGUAGGCGGCGGUGUAAGUUGGAAGUGAAAUCCCAUCGGCUCAACCGUGGAAUUGCUCCCAGUACUGCAUCGCUCGAGGGGGAUAGGGGUUUGCGGAACUACCGGUGGAGCGGUGAAAUGUGUUGAUAUCGGUGGGAACGCCAGUGGCGAAAGCGGCAAACUUGACCCUUCCUGACGCUGAUGCGCGAAAGCUAGGGGAGCAAACGGGAUUAGAUACCCCCGUAGUCC